Molecule: long non-coding RNA, 1226 nt
Organism: Myotis brandtii (Brandt's bat)
Lineage: Eukaryota; Metazoa; Chordata; Mammalia; Chiroptera; Vespertilionidae
Exons: 2
Source: RefSeq, a predicted model, not a curated record
CAGCCAGGUUAGAAUGUGCUUUCUCUAAUCAGAACAGAACCAUCAUGGUUAACAGAGCAUGAUUAAUGUUUGUUAUAAUUGUAGCUGAUCCCCAAUAUAUUCUAUGUCUGCCCCUAACAGUAUGCUAAAUGAAUAGUAGAGCUAUGUGCUGUGGCUAAUUGAAAGCAUAGUACAGCUUAUAGAAAUGUGGAGGGGUGUCUCCAUGGAAGCUGGAUAACUGGCCACAUGGUGACUUUUAGUAAUAAGUUGGAGUGCUGCAGAUUCAAAAGGAUUAUUUUGUCAGUGACCUAGAGUUGAAUACAUUCUUACCCUAUAUAUCUAUAACAAAGAUUUUCCUUUAAUGAUUGCAACAUAUUAAGAUAUGAACUGUUAGUUCCAGGGUCCCACAUGGUGGAUUUGCUAAUAUCAUGGGUGGAAGUGGAUUGCAAAACUUUACAAUUGCUGCUGUGCCAUAUACUCCAAAUCUUCUACCGACUUCAAGCACAUGCAUCAACAUGCUCAAGUUACCUGAAUACCCAAGUAAAGAAAUACUCAAGGACAGACUUCUUGUGGCACUGCAUUGUGGCAGCUAUGGCUACACAAUGGCAUAGUGGAGUCCGGAAAGCUCAUCUGACUGCUGAUGCACAGUCCGAGUGGCAGAAGUAAUUUAGGAAAUGUCAACAGAAAAGCAGCCUCAAGGCAGUUCAUGGGCAGGGCUGUUUAAAAUUCAUCAAGGAUCAGGUUUUCUCCCCUGCCCCUUUUCCCUUUUAUGUUUUCUCAGUUUGUGAUACACUUAGAAAAUAGAAAAUCACAGUAGCCUUCAUUUUAAAGAAUGCUAACUGAAAGUAGUAGAAACUGUCCUUAUAUUUCUUUAAUCUUAUUCAAGAUUGUAUUAAGGCAAAAUCUUGUUCUACAUUCCACCUCUGCUAUGUAACUGUCUUGUUUAAAGGAUGUUUUCUCUUUACUUUUCUGUAUAUUAAAAUAUAGUAGGACAUCCAACCUGGUAUGUCCUAUCGCAUGUAAAGUGCCAUUUAUAUUUUGAAAAACUAUUGUAUAGAAUGGAUUAAUUAAAAUUGUGUAUAAAGCCACAAAUAUGUAUUUUCCCAUAUUGAAUCUAUAUUGCAAUGAUGUUUUCUAGCUUUUUAAUAUUUUACUAUGUAAUGUAAAAUUUAGACUGAUGUGACUAACAAACAGCUGAUGAAAUGAUAUCUAAUUUAUAUAUUAAAGUUUAUACUAUAUUGUAUGAA